UACGAGGGGGGCAAAUGUUGUUCGGAAUCACUGGGCGUAAAGGGAGCGUAGGCGGGUUUUUAAGUCAGGUGUUUAAUCCCGGGGCCCAACCCCGGACAGGCACUUGAAACUGGGAAUCUUGAAUAGUGGAGAGGUCAGUGGAAUUGGGGGUGUAGCGGUGGAAUGCGUAGAUAUCGGGAGGAACACCAGUGGCGAAGGCGACUUCCUGGCCUGUUCUUGACGCUGAGGCGCGAAAGCUAGGGGGAGCAAAACGGGG
RNAcentral lists this ribosomal RNA (256 nucleotides) under uncultured bacterium. RNAcentral describes it as "partial 16S ribosomal RNA". It matches the Rfam family "Bacterial small subunit ribosomal RNA", at positions 524 to 778 of the family's 1533-position model. The record is from RNAcentral.